Long non-coding RNA from Nomascus leucogenys (northern white-cheeked gibbon), 137 nucleotides. RefSeq lists it as uncharacterized. NCBI's taxonomy places the organism in Eukaryota, Metazoa, Chordata, Mammalia, Primates, Hylobatidae. The transcript has 3 exons. The record is from RefSeq and is a predicted model, not a curated record.
AAUAUAUGUAAAAUCAAUUUAUAUGUUAAUUAGCUCCACUGUGGUAAUUAUCUCACAAUGUAUACCUAUAUCAAAACGUUAUGUUGUACACCUUAAAUACAUACAAUUGUUUUUGACGAUUAUACCCCAAUAAAGCU